RNAcentral lists this ribosomal RNA (573 nucleotides) under Rheinheimera sp. Its description in RNAcentral is "bacterial SSU rRNA". It matches the Rfam family "Bacterial small subunit ribosomal RNA", at positions 340 to 905 of the family's 1533-position model. The record is from RNAcentral. Lineage: Bacteria; Pseudomonadati; Pseudomonadota; Gammaproteobacteria; Chromatiales; Chromatiaceae.
UACGGGAGGCAGCAGUGGGGAAUAUUGGACAAUGGGCGCAAGCCUGAUCCAGCCAUGCCGCGUGUGUGAAGAAGGCCUUCGGGUUGUAAAGCACUUUCAGCGAGGAGGAAGGGUUAGUAGUUAAUAGCUGCUAAUUUUGACGUUACUCGCAGAAGAAGCACCGGCUAACUCUGUGCCAGCAGCCGCGGUAAUACAGAGGGUGCAAGCGUUAAUCGGAAUUACUGGGCGUAAAGCGCACGUAGGCGGUUUUUUAAGUCAGAUGUGAAAGCCCCGGGCUCAACCUGGGAAUUGCAUUUGAAACUGGAAAACUAGAGUGUGUGAGAGGGGGGUAGAAUUCCAAGUGUAGCGGUGAAAUGCGUAGAGAUUUGGAGGAAUACCAGUGGCGAAGGCGGCCCCCUGGCACAACACUGACGCUCAGGUGCGAAAGCGUGGGGAGCAAACAGGAUUAGAUACCCUGGUAGUCCACGCCGUAAACGAUGUCUACUAGCUGUUCGUGGUCUUGUACCGUGAGUAGCGCAGCUAACGCAUUAAGUAGACCGCCUGGGGAGUAUGGUCGCAAGAUUAAAACUCAAA